UCCUGACAGUCGCAUUGGGCGGCUGACACUAGCCACGACAGGAGAUACUUAAAUG
This 55-nucleotide non-coding RNA is filed under the name unclassified sequences. Its description in RNAcentral is "Mu-gpT-DE RNA". It matches the Rfam family "Mu-gpT-DE RNA". The record is from Rfam by way of RNAcentral.